RNAcentral lists this ribosomal RNA (483 nucleotides) under uncultured bacterium. Its description in RNAcentral is "partial 16S ribosomal RNA". It matches the Rfam family "Bacterial small subunit ribosomal RNA", at positions 29 to 507 of the family's 1533-position model. The record is from RNAcentral.
UUGAACGCUGGCGGCAUGCUUUACACAUGCAAGUCGAACGGCAGCGCGGGCUUCGGCCUGGCGGCGAGUGGCGAACGGGUGCGUAAUGCAUCGGAACGUGCCCAGUAGUGGGGGAUAGCCCGGCGAAAGCCGGAUUAAUACCGCAUACGACCUGAGGGUGAAAGCGGGGGACCGAAAGGCCUCGCGCUAUUGGAGCGGCCGAUGUCGGAUUAGCUAGUUGGUGGGGUAAAGGCUUACCAAGGCGACGAUCCGUAGCUGGUCUGAGAGGACGACCAGCCACACUGGGACUGAGACACGGCCCAGACUCCUACGGGAGGCAGCAGUGGGGAAUUUUGGACAAUGGGGGCAACCCUGAUCCAGCCAUGCCGCGUGCGGGAAGAAGGCCUUCGGGUUGUAAACCGCUUUUGUUCGGGAAGAAAUCCUCUGGGCUAAUACCCCGGGGGGAUGACGGUACCGGAAGAAUAAGCACCGGCUAACUACGUG